CCCUUCCGUAGGGGUGNCCUGCGGAAGGAUCAUUACUGUGAUUUAGUACUACACUGCGUGAGCGGAACGAAAACAACAACACCUAAAAUGUGGAAUAUAGCAUAUAGUCGACAAGAGAAAUCUACGAAAAAACAAACAAAACUUUCAACAACGGAUCUCUUGGUUCUCGCAUCGAUGAAGAGCGCAGCGAAAUGCGAUACCUAGUGUGAAUUGCAGCCAUCGUGAAUCAUCGAGUUCUUGAACGCACAUUGCGCCCCUCGGCAUUCCGGGGGGCAUGCCUGUUUGAGCGUCGUUUCCAUCUUGCGCGUGCGCAGAGUUGGGGGAGCGGAGCGGACGACGUGUAAAGAGCGUCGGAGCUGCGACUCGCCUGAAAGGGAGCGAAGCUGGCCGAGCGAACUAGACUUUUUUUCAGGGACGCUUGGCGGCCGAGAGCGAGUGUUGCGAGACAACAAAAAGCUCGACCUCAAAUCAGGUAGGAAUACCCGCUGAACUUAAGCAUAUCAAAAGGCGGAGGAAA
This 517-nucleotide ribosomal RNA is filed under the name Pichia kudriavzevii. Its description in RNAcentral is "eukaryotic LSU rRNA". The stretch from base 140 to 292 matches the Rfam family "5.8S ribosomal RNA". Lineage: Eukaryota; Fungi; Ascomycota; Pichiomycetes; Pichiales; Pichiaceae. The record is from RNAcentral.